This 492-nucleotide ribosomal RNA is filed under the name uncultured bacterium. Its description in RNAcentral is "partial 16S ribosomal RNA". It matches the Rfam family "Bacterial small subunit ribosomal RNA", at positions 29 to 507 of the family's 1533-position model. The record is from RNAcentral.
AGUGAACGCUGGCGGUAGGCCUAACACAUGCAAGUCGAACGGCAGCACAGUAAGAGCUUGCUCUUACGGGUGGCGAGUGGCGGACGGGUGAGGAAUACAUCGGAAUCUACUUUUUCGUGGGGGAUAACGUAGGGGAACUUACGCUAAUACCGCAUACGACCUACGGGUGAAAGCAGGGGAUCUUCGGACCUUGCGCGAUUGAAUGAGCCGAUGUCGGAUUAGCUAGUUGGCGGGGUAAAGGCCCACCAAGGCGACGAUCCGUAGCUGGUCUGAGAGGAUGAUCAGCCACACUGGAACUGAGACACGGUCCAGACUCCUACGGGAGGCAGCAGUGGGGAAUAUUGGACAAUGGGCGCAAGCCUGAUCCAGCUAUACCGCGUGGGUGAAGAAGGCCUUCGGGUUGUAAAGCCCUUUUGUUGGGAAAGAAAAGCAGCAGGUUAAUACCCCGCUGUUCUGACGGUACCCAAAGAAUAAGCACCGGCUAACUUCGUG